RNAcentral lists this ribosomal RNA (776 nucleotides) under Bacillus cereus. RNAcentral's name for it is "bacterial SSU rRNA". It matches the Rfam family "Bacterial small subunit ribosomal RNA", at positions 28 to 788 of the family's 1533-position model. Lineage: Bacteria; Bacillati; Bacillota; Bacilli; Caryophanales; Bacillaceae. The record is from RNAcentral.
GGGAAAGGGGGGGGUACUAAUACAUGCAAGUCGAGCGAAUGGAUUAAGAGCUUGCUCUUAUGAAGUUAGCGGCGGACGGGUGAGUAACACGUGGGUAACCUGCCCAUAAGACUGGGAUAACUCCGGGAAACCGGGGCUAAUACCGGAUAACAUUUUGAACUGCAUGGUUCGAAAUUGAAAGGCGGCUUCGGCUGUCACUUAUGGAUGGACCCGCGUCGCAUUAGCUAGUUGGUGAGGUAACGGCUCACCAAGGCAACGAUGCGUAGCCGACCUGAGAGGGUGAUCGGCCACACUGGGACUGAGACACGGCCCAGACUCCUACGGGAGGCAGCAGUAGGGAAUCUUCCGCAAUGGACGAAAGUCUGACGGAGCAACGCCGCGUGAGUGAUGAAGGCUUUCGGGUCGUAAAACUCUGUUGUUAGGGAAGAACAAGUGCUAGUUGAAUAAGCUGGCACCUUGACGGUACCUAACCAGAAAGCCACGGCUAACUACGUGCCAGCAGCCGCGGUAAUACGUAGGUGGCAAGCGUUAUCCGGAAUUAUUGGGCGUAAAGCGCGCGCAGGUGGUUUCUUAAGUCUGAUGUGAAAGCCCACGGCUCAACCGUGGAGGGUCAUUGGAAACUGGGAGACUUGAGUGCAGAAGAGGAAAGUGGAAUUCCAUGUGUAGCGGUGAAAUGCGUAGAGAUAUGGAGGAACACCAGUGGCGAAGGCGACUUUCUGGUCUGUAACUGACACUGAGGCGCGAAAGCGUGGGGAGCAAACAGGAUUAGAUACCUU